Molecule: long non-coding RNA, 1632 nt
Organism: Cyprinus carpio carpio
Lineage: Eukaryota; Metazoa; Chordata; Actinopteri; Cypriniformes; Cyprinidae
Source: Ensembl
CCGCCUCUCUCGUGAAUGAAGUGCGGCGCGCAGUUUGGAGGAUCUUAGUUUGUUUGCAGUAUGAAGAUGGAUAGAUGCCAUUUCUACGAAACGCUACUAUCAGUGCAACCUGUGAUGAUUUAUCCUGUUCUUCAUUGAUGUAGCCACAGAUGAACUGUUUGAAGAAAGCUUGCGGUGCCUCAAGGGAGACCGAAUUCCCCAGAGAAGAUGCAUGGAUGUGCACCUAAAUGCCACUGGAGAGAUGAUCAACUACAGACACCCUCUGCAUCCCCGCCUCAUUAUACCUCCAUACUACGAGCCUCUUUAAUACCCAGCCUUCCUAAAGAGCAGCGUGCCGAGCUUCAUUUCCUCCUGUGAGACAGCCAUGCCCUGAGAAUAAGUGGAUGACACUCAGACAUUGUUUUCGUGUGCUGGUGAUGUGCUGGUAGAGCUGACCCUUAGUACAGCUUCCUACUCUGACAGCCAGGGGCCGUUAAGGGCCAUGUGGGCCCGGCUGCAGCUGCUCCACUCUCCUUGCCCACUCAGCAGGCACACUGUGCCCUUUGAGCCCACCUGCCAUUCAAUCCAGCACAGGUUAACACAAUCACACACACACACACACAGGUUUAUUGACUCGUGUGGCCCAGCGCACUUAGUUAUGCUUGGGUGAGUAUGCUGAAGCAGAAAUGAGUAUGUUUUAAAUAAGAGUCUUUUGAUAUGUGUCAUAAGACGUUUCGUAUUCGUCUGUUUAACAGGAUUGGAGCAGGUCCGUUGAUGUGUGCGAUAAUGCGGAUCGACGUGCUCGUGUGUGCCGCGUGUGUGCGUUCCUUCCCCACAGACGUUUGCUUGCCAUCUCUGUUUUUCUGUAUCUCCUCAUAGGUGAACAGAUGUAGGGCCAGCAGUGGAAAUCAGCAAGGAAACCCCACACUAUUCAAUGUGAUUUUAAUCAGCGGCUCUCCUCCUGACCCAUUUAUUUCUGCACUGAGCUGAUUGCGUUGGCUGCCGCAGACGAGCCCGACCCACGACACGCCAUAAUUACCCAUCACAUCAUAUAUGUCCUACAACCAUCAUAGAGCAACUCAUAAUCUCAAAAUUACUGUACUCUGGGCAAAGUGGAUCACUCUUUCAGUCAAAUCAAACUUUCAGGGUUGUUAUUGUCAGAUUUCCCAUCCCUGGCGUAUCAUCAGCUCGACUCGUUUUAUUCAGCCCUGGCUACCCAGCCGUCGUACUCUUUUAGUCAGUUGCGUCUGUAGUGGGAAUCAAUAUGCAGAUAUGCGUGGAAAAUUGUACCGGGCUGGCUGAUAAUGAGAUUUUACUGUGAAGACAAAGCCCCUGGGUGCAGUGAUUGGUAUCUGAGAGAGUCCACACUGUCCUCAGCGCUCGCUCCCUUGAGACCGUCACAGUGCUAACAUGUCUUCUGUUUUAGCUGCACGAAGCUAAAAGUGCAGCUUAAUGGAUUGAACACCGAACAACGAACCUUUUUGCAGGGUGUUCGGUACACAACAUUUUUGGGUCUGUAGGGCAAUUGAGAAAAAAAUAAAAUUAAAAAAAUAAAUUUUGUUAAUACCAUUAAUUAUAUAUUGUUAAGCAAAUAUUAACAAGGAACAUACAAGUAAUAAUUAUAUGGAAGCUGAAUAUUUAUUUGUAAAUCCU